AUUGAACGCUGGCGGCAUGCCUUACACAUGCAAGUCGAACGGCAGCACGGAGCUUGCUCUGGUGGCGAGUGGCGAACGGGUGAGUAAUAUAUCGGAACGUACCCUGGAGUGGGGGAUAACGUAGCGAAAGUUACGCUAAUACCGCAUACGAUCUACGGAUGAAAGUGGGGGAUCGCAAGACCUCAUGCUCGUGGAGCGGCCGAUAUCUGAUUAGCUAGUUGGUAGGGUAAAAGCCUACCAAGGCAUCGAUCAGUAGCUGGUCUGAGAGGACGACCAGCCACACUGGAACUGAGACACGGUCCAGACUCCUACGGGAGGCAGCAGUGGGGAAUUUUGGACAAUGGGCGAAAGCCUGAUCCAGCAAUGCCGCGUGAGUGAAGAAGGCCUUCGGGUUGUAAAGCUCUUUUGUCAGGGAAGAAACGGUGAGGGCUAAUAUCCCCUGCUAAUGACGGUACCUGAAGAAUAAGCACCGGCUAACUACGUGCCAGCAGCCGCGGUAAUACGUAGGGUGCAAGCGUUAAUCGGAAUUACUAGGCGUAAAGCGUGCGCAGGCGGUUUUGUAAGUCUGAUGUGAAAUCCCCGGGCUCAACCUGGGAAUUGCAUUGGAGACUGCAAGGCUAGAAUCUGGCAGAGGGGGGUAGAAUUCCACGUGUAGCAGUGAAAUGCGUAGAUAUGUGGAGGAACACCGAUGGCGAAGGCAGCCCCCUGGGUCAAGAUUGACGCUCAUGCACGAAAGCGUGGGGAGCAAACAGGAUUAGAUACCCUGGUAGUCCACGCCCUAAACGAUGUCUACUAGUUGUCGGGUCUUAAUUGACUUGGUAACGCAGCUAACGCGUGAAGCAGACCGCCUGGGGAGUACGGUCGCAAGAUUAAAACUCAAAGGAAUUGACGGGGACCCGCACAAGCGGUGGAUGAUGUGGAUUAAUUCGAUGCAACGCGAAAAACCUUACCUACCCUUGACAUGGCUGGAAUCCCCGAGAGAUUGGGGAGUGCUCGAAAGAGAACCAGUACACAGGUGCUGCAUGGCUGUCGUCAGCUCGUGUCGUGAGAUGUUGGGUUAAGUCCCGCAACGAGCGCAACCCUUGUCAUUAGUUGCUACGAAAGGGCACUCUAAUGAGACUGCCGGUGACAAACCGGAGGAAGGUGGGGAUGACGUCAAGUCCUCAUGGCCCUUAUGGGUAGGGCUUCACACAUCAUACAAUGGUACAUACAGAGCGCCGCCAACCCGCGAGGGGGAGCUAAUCGCAGGAAGUGUAUCGUAGUCCGGAUUGUAGUCUGCAACUCGACUGCAUGAAGUUGGAAUCGCUAGUAAUCGCGGAUCAGCAUGUCGCGGUGAAUACGUUCCCGGGUCU
Molecule: ribosomal RNA, 1352 nt
Filed under: uncultured bacterium
Lineage: Bacteria
Description: bacterial SSU rRNA
Rfam family: Bacterial small subunit ribosomal RNA
Source: RNAcentral